Silurus meridionalis is the source of this 372-nucleotide non-coding RNA. NCBI's taxonomy places the organism in Eukaryota, Metazoa, Chordata, Actinopteri, Siluriformes, Siluridae. The record is from the annotation of a RefSeq genome assembly.
AUGAAGAUCUCACUCUCCUUAUUCCUGCUACUGAUCAGCUUCAGCAGUGUGAAAUGUGAAAGUCUUAAAUCGUUACAAACCACAGUGCAGAAGAAACCUGGAGAAACACUGAGUCUCUCCUGCAGAGGAUCUGGGUUUACUUUUGGAAGCUACCAAAUGCACUGGAUCAGAAAGCAGGAGAACAAACCACUGGUGUGGGUGGGACGUGUCUCUACUGAUGGCAGUGGCACUGAUUAUAGUAAAUCAUUUGAAGGAAGAAUAGAAAUCACCAGAGAUAAUUACAACAGCAUGGUGUAUCUGAAACUCUCUGGUGUGACAGCAGAGGACACAGCUGUGUAUUACUGCGCAAGAACCACCGUAGCAGAAAUAUGA